Molecule: ribosomal RNA, 482 nt
Filed under: uncultured bacterium
Lineage: Bacteria
Description: partial 16S ribosomal RNA
Rfam family: Bacterial small subunit ribosomal RNA
Source: RNAcentral
AUUGAACGCUGGCGGCAUGCUUUACACAUGCAAGUCGAACGGUAACAGGCCGCAAGGUGCUGACGAGUGGCGAACGGGUGAGUAAUGCAUCGGAACGUGCCCAGUCGUGGGGGAUAACUACUCGAAAGAGUAGCUAAUACCGCAUACGAUCUAUGGAUGGAAGCGGGGGACCGUAAGGCCUCGCGCGAUUGGAGCGGCCGAUGUCAGAGUAGGUAGUGGGUGGGGUAAAGGCUCACCAAGCCAACGAGCUGUAGGUGGUCUGAGAGGACGACCAGCCACACUGGGACGGAGACACGGCCCAUACUCCUACGGGAGGCAGCAGUGGGGAAUUUUGGACAAUGGGCGCAAGCCUGAUCCAGCAAUGCCGCGUGCAGGAAGAAGGCCUUCGGGUUGUAAACUGCUUUUGUACGGAACGAAACGGCUCUGGUUAAUACCCGGGGCUAAUGACGGUACCGUAAGAAUGAGCACCGGCUAACUACGUG